Periconia macrospinosa is the source of this 71-nucleotide non-coding RNA. NCBI's taxonomy places the organism in Eukaryota, Fungi, Ascomycota, Dothideomycetes, Pleosporales, Periconiaceae. The record is from the annotation of a GenBank genome assembly.
GCUCCUGUGGUGUAAUGGAAGCAUCUGGCUCUCGCAGGCCUAGGAUCUGGGUUCGAUUCCUAGCUGGAGCG